GAGAGAGAAGAGGUAAAAGUCAGCACCAGCACAAAAGAAAAGUUCAACAUAAGUUACCACUCAAGCCAGAAUGUCUUUGGAUCAAAGAUGAAGUUGGAAAGCAGUUCAAUGUGAGAUUCUUAGCUAGGGCAGAAUACCUCAAUGGGUAGCAAGUAUCUACCAAAGAAGGACGAUGAUGAACAAAUGCAUGUUGACAAUCAUACUUC
Molecule: long non-coding RNA, 206 nt
Filed under: Vigna radiata
Lineage: Eukaryota; Viridiplantae; Streptophyta; Magnoliopsida; Fabales; Fabaceae
Description: long non-coding RNA (VRAD_LNC013971)
Source: RNAcentral